ACGAUGUUCCGCUGCAAGUGGUCUCUAUCUAUGAGUGCAAGAGCGUCUG
Molecule: regulatory RNA element, 49 nt
Rfam family: Ribosomal protein L19 leader
About the family: This family is a putative r-protein leader autoregulatory structure found in B. subtilis and other low-GC Gram-positive bacteria. It is located in the 5' untranslated regions of mRNAs encoding ribosomal protein L19 (rplS).
Source: Rfam